GACGAACGCUGGCGGCGUGCUUAACACAUGCAAGUCGAACGAUGAUGCCCAGCUUGCUGGGUGGAUUAGUGGCGAACGGGUGAGUAACACGUGAGUAACCUGCCCCUGACUCUGGGAUAAGCGUUGGAAACGACGUCUAAUACUGGAUACGACUGCCGGCCGCAUGGUCUGGUGGUGGAAAGAUUUUUUGGUUGGGGAUGGACUCGCGGCCUAUCAGCUUGUUGGUGAGGUAAUGGCUCACCAAGGCGACGACGGGUAGCCGGCCUGAGAGGGUGACCGGCCACACUGGGACUGGGACACGGCCCAGACUGCUACGGGAGGCAGCAGUGGGGAAUAUUGCACAAUGGGCGAAAGCCUGAUGCAGCAACGCCGCGUGAGGGAUGACGGCCUUCGGGUUGUAAACCUCUUUUAGUAGGGAAGAAGCGAAAGUGACGGUACCUGCAGAAAAAGCACCGGCUAACUACGUGCCAGCAGCCGCCGCAG
Molecule: ribosomal RNA, 483 nt
Filed under: uncultured bacterium
Lineage: Bacteria
Description: partial 16S ribosomal RNA
Rfam family: Bacterial small subunit ribosomal RNA
Source: RNAcentral